GACGAACGCUGGCGGCGUGCCUAAUACAUGCAAGUCGAACGCAGUGGGGACGGGUGAGUAACACGUGGGUAACCUCCCAUCAGAGGGGAUAACACUUUGAAACAGGUGCUAAACCGAUAUUGAUGGUUGGACCCGGGGUGCAUUAGCUAGUGGGUGAGGUAACGGCUCACCAAGGCCACGAUGCAUAGCCGACCUGAGAGGGUGAUCGGCCACACUGGAACUGAGACACGGCCCAGACUCCUACGGGAGGCAGCAGUAGGGAAUAUUCGGCAAUGGGCGAAAGUCUGACCGAGCAAGGCCGCGUGGGUGAAGAAGGUUUUCGGAUCGUAAAGCUCUGUUGUUAGGGAGGCGGUAUCUAACGAGAAAGCCACGGCUAACUACGUGCCAGCAGCCGCGGUAAUUC
Molecule: ribosomal RNA, 403 nt
Filed under: uncultured bacterium
Lineage: Bacteria
Description: partial 16S ribosomal RNA
Rfam family: Bacterial small subunit ribosomal RNA
Source: RNAcentral